This 475-nucleotide ribosomal RNA is filed under the name Ceracris kiangsu (yellow-spined bamboo locust). Its description in RNAcentral is "partial 16S ribosomal RNA". It matches the Rfam family "Archaeal large subunit ribosomal RNA", at positions 1900 to 2625 of the family's 2987-position model. The record is from RNAcentral. Lineage: Eukaryota; Metazoa; Arthropoda; Insecta; Orthoptera; Acrididae.
AAAAAACAUGUCCUCUUGAUUAUAUUUUGAGGUCUGGCCUGCUCACUGAUAAAUUUAAAGAGCCGCGGUAUUUUGACCGUGCAAAGGUAGCAUAAUCAUUAGUCUUUUAAUUAAGGGCUGGAAUGAAUGGCUUGACGAGAAAUUAACUGUCUCUUAAUAAUUUAUAAAAUUUAACUUUUGAGUCAAAAGGCUUAAAUUUUUCUUUAGGACGAGAAGACCCUAUAGAGCUUAACAUAUAAUUUAUAUUUAUACAUUAGAUGAUUUUUAUAUGUUUAAUGAUAAUGUUUUGUUGGGGUGACAUGAAGAAUUAAUAAACUCUUCAUUAUAAAAUCAUUAAUUUAUGUUUAUUUUUGAUCCAUAAUUUAUGAUCAUAAGAUUAAGUUACCUUAGGGAUAACAGCGUAAUUGUUUUUGAGAGCUCAAAUCAACAAAGCAGAUUGCGACCUCGAUGUUGGAUUAAGAAAAAUUUUGGGUGC